UCCCCUAGUAACGGCGAGUGAAGCGGGAUGAGCUCAAAUUUGAAAUCUGGCUGGUUUACUAGUCCGAGUUGUAAUUUAAAGAAGCGUUUUCGGUGGCAGCCUGGGUAUAAAUCCUUUGGAAUAGGGUAUCAUAGAGGGUGAGAAUCCCGUCUUUGACCUAGUGCAUGCUACUAUGUGAUACGUUUUCAAAGAGUCGAGUUGUUUGGGAAUGCAGCUCAAAAUGGGUGGUAAAUUUCAUCUAAAGCUAAAUAUUGGCGAGAGACCGAUAGCGAACAAGUACCGUGAGGGAAAGAUGAAAAGAACUUUGAAAAGAGAGUUAAACAGUGCGUGAAAUUGUUGAAAGGGAAACGUUUGACACCAGUCAUGUGGGUGGAAAAUCAGUCUUUUGCAUUGGGGAGUUGUAAAGGUUCGGACCGCAAGGCCGGCUUUUGCUUCAUCUUUGGUGUAAGGGAUGCACUUUUUCAUCUACAGGUCAACAUCAGUUUCUUUUGCUGGACAAAACUCCGAGAGAAGGUAGCAGCUUAGGCUGUGUUAUAGCUCUGGAGCGAUACAGUGAAGGGGACUGAGGUUUUCGCAGCGUGUGCUCUCGGGC
RNAcentral lists this ribosomal RNA (592 nucleotides) under Podila verticillata. RNAcentral describes it as "partial large subunit ribosomal RNA". It matches the Rfam family "Eukaryotic large subunit ribosomal RNA", at positions 76 to 615 of the family's 3401-position model. Lineage: Eukaryota; Fungi; Mortierellomycota; Mortierellomycetes; Mortierellales; Mortierellaceae. The record is from RNAcentral.